RNAcentral lists this long non-coding RNA (201 nucleotides) under Bos taurus (domestic cattle). Its description in RNAcentral is "long non-coding RNA NONBTAT010793". Lineage: Eukaryota; Metazoa; Chordata; Mammalia; Artiodactyla; Bovidae. The record is from RNAcentral.
UCUGUUGAAUGGCAUUUGUUAUUACCUACCUGCCAGGAAAAUCCAUGACCAUUUGUAUUGCUUCUUUCUGUCUUAUUCUCCAAGCAUACAUUUGCCUGUUAACUAACUUCGCAUGCGCUGACUUGUUAACGCCCAGCAAGUAUUUCCCUGAGAGCUUCCAAUAGAAUACUUCCCUUGAGGCGGUCUUGUGCCUCUGACUGC